RNAcentral lists this long non-coding RNA (1344 nucleotides) under Macaca fascicularis (crab-eating macaque). Its description in RNAcentral is "lncRNA (ENSMFAG00000054578.1)". Lineage: Eukaryota; Metazoa; Chordata; Mammalia; Primates; Cercopithecidae. The record is from RNAcentral.
CUAUUGUAAGUGGUGGAAACAAUCACUCAUUUGGGCUCUCAUAUUUUCAGCAUAUUCAAACUUGUCAAAGAGUGUGCCUCUGACUAUCAGUUUACACAUUUGUUAGAUGAAGAAGUAAACAAACAGCAAAAGUGUGCCGGUUGCAGGAUGGUUUAAUGCCAUAUAAUACUUGUUUUUGCAGUCCAGAAAAAUGUCAGUGAACUACCUUUUAUAGAGUACGUGCUUUGAUUGUUGCCACAUUGGCAAAAAAAGUGGAGCUAAAUAAUUUCUUUUGGGCUUCUUUGGCCAAAUUGUACACAUUUUUUUUUGAGAAGGUUGGCAGGAGUUAGAGCAUGAGUCCAUGGAACAGAGCCACACUGGUUGUUACCCAGAGAGCUUGGACCUAAAUCCUUGGCCCCAGGAGUAUUGUAGUCUAAUUUUUGGAAAGCCAAAUUAGAGUGGAUGAAUAAAGAGGCAAAAGUAGGGAAGGAGUUAUAGUCAGCAUCCUUUAAUUUGUGGAUAUAGGCUAAGAAGUUAAGGAUCGAAGUAGUUCGGCAUGUAAGUACAAAGUGUUUGGGGCAGUUGGUGGACUUUCAACAUCUAGUUUGGAAAUAGUCUGAGUAUUCUGUAGCUUUUACUCUCAAAUUUUGUUUUGCAUAAUGCUGUGGCUAUAUGAUGAAAAGUGAUUCCUAUGAAGACGCUAGCUAGACUUUGACCUUGCCCUUAUCAUGGCCAGAUGCCAUCUUUGUAUAUCAUCCCCUAAACCAUCAAUUUGUAGGUGGAGAUGUCCCAUUGUAAAUUCUUUUCACCCAACUGGUGAUGUAUGAGUAAUGGGUUGCCUCUUGGAUAACAUCAACUGUGGAUGGUAUGCACUUCCCCAGGCUAGUGGGAAUUCUAGCUCCUGCUAUCUUCCUCUACUCAUGGGAACAUGUUGGAAUUCAAUAAAGUAAAAAAAAAAAAGAAAGAAAAGAAAAAAACAACAUUGUUAAAGGGAAUAUGUUAAAUUCACAAAGCAUUUGCCAAUUUUAGUGCCGUUUUACUUGCAAUAAGAAAAUGUUGAUUUUUGGCUGGGCGCGGUGGCUAAAGCCUGUAAUCCCAGCACUUUGGGAGGCUGAGACGGGCGGGUCACGAGGUCAGGAGAUCGAGACCAUCCUGGCAAACAUGGUGAAACCCCGUCUCUACUAAAAAAAAAUACAAAAAAACUAGCCGGGCCAGGUGGCGGGCGCCUGUAGUCCCAGUUACUCAGGGGGCUGAGGCAGGAGAAUAGCGCGAACCCGGGAGGCAGAGCUUGCAGUGAGCCGAGAUCGCGCCACUGUACUCCAGCCUGGGCGACAGAGACUCCGUCUCAAAAAAAAAAAAAAAAAA